This 461-nucleotide ribosomal RNA is filed under the name uncultured bacterium. RNAcentral describes it as "partial 16S ribosomal RNA". It matches the Rfam family "Bacterial small subunit ribosomal RNA", at positions 28 to 506 of the family's 1533-position model. The record is from RNAcentral.
GACGAACGCUGGCGGCGUGCUUAACACAUGCAAGUCGAGCGGAAAGGCCCUUCGGGGUACUCGAGCGGCGAACGGGUGAGUAACACGUGAGUAACCUGCCCCAGACUUUGGGAUAACCCUCGGAAACGGGGGCUAAUACCGGAUACGACACAGCUUCGCAUGGGGUCUGUGUGGAAAGUUUUUCGGUUUGGGAUGGGCUCGCGGCCUAUCAGCUUGUUGGUGGGGUGAUGGCCUACCAAGGCGACGACGGGUAGCCGGCCUGAGAGGGCGACCGGCCACACUGGGACUGGGCCCCGGCCCAGACCCCUACGGGGGGCAGCCGUGGGGAAUUUUGCACAAUGGGCGGAAGCCUGCUGCAGCGCCCCCGCGUGGGGGAUGACGGCCUUCGGGUUGUAACCCUUUUUCAGCCGGGACGAAGCGUAAGUGACGGUACCUGCAGAAGAAGCGCCGGCCAACUACGG